ACGAACGCUGGCGGCGUGCUUAACCCAUGCCAGUCGAACGGAAAGGCCCUGCUUUUGUGGGGUGCUCGAGUGGCGAACGGGUGAGUAACACGUGAGUAACCUGCCCUUGACUUUGGGAUAACUUCAGGAAACUGGGGCCAAUACCGGAUAGGAGCUCCUGCUGCAUGGUGGGGGUUGGAAAGUUUCGGCGGUUGGGGAUGGACUCGCGGCUUAUCAGCUUGUUGGUGGGGUAGUGGCUUACCAAGGCUUUGACGGGUAGCCGGCCUGAGAGGGUGACCGGCCACAUUGGGACUGAGAUACGGCCCAGACUCCUACGGGAGGCAGCAGUGGGGAAUAUUGCACAAUGGGCGGAAGCCUGAUGCAGCAACGCCGCGUGCGGGAUGACGGCCUUCGGGUUGUAAACCGCUUUCGCCUGUGACGAAGCGUGAGUGACGGUAAUGGGUAAAGAAGCACCGGCUAACUACGUG
RNAcentral lists this ribosomal RNA (467 nucleotides) under uncultured bacterium. RNAcentral describes it as "partial 16S ribosomal RNA". It matches the Rfam family "Bacterial small subunit ribosomal RNA", at positions 29 to 507 of the family's 1533-position model. The record is from RNAcentral.